This is a non-coding RNA of Cristinia sonorae, 104 nucleotides long. NCBI's taxonomy places the organism in Eukaryota, Fungi, Basidiomycota, Agaricomycetes, Agaricales, Stephanosporaceae. The record is from the annotation of a GenBank genome assembly.
GACCUCUUGGCGCAGUGGUAGCGCGUGAGAUUCCAGUCGCUUCCGUUCCGAACGGAAGUCGCGGGACGUCCUCAAGGUCAUCCGUUCAAAUCGGGUAGGGGUCA